This 484-nucleotide ribosomal RNA is filed under the name uncultured bacterium. RNAcentral describes it as "partial 16S ribosomal RNA". It matches the Rfam family "Bacterial small subunit ribosomal RNA", at positions 30 to 507 of the family's 1533-position model. The record is from RNAcentral.
AUUGAACGCUAGCGGGAUACUUUACACAUGCAAGUCGAACGGCAGCGCGGACUUCGGUCUGGCGGCGAGUGGCGAACGGGUGAGUAAUGUAUCGGAACGUGCCCAGUAGCGGGGGAUAACUACGCGAAAGCGUAGCUAAUACCGCAUACGCCCUACGGGGGAAAGCAGGGGAUCGUAAGACCUUGCACUAUUGGAGCGGCCGAUAUCGGAUUAGCUAGUUGGUGAGGUAACGGCUCACCAAGGCGACGAUCCGUAGCUGGUUUGAGAGGACGACCAGCCACACUGGGACUGAGACACGGCCCAGACUCCUACGGGAGGCAGCAGUGGGGAAUUUUGGACAAUGGGGGCAACCCUGAUCCAGCCAUCCCGCGUGUGCGAUGAAGGCCUUCGGGUUGUAAAGCACUUUUGGCAGGAAAGAAACGUCGCGGGCUAAUACCCCGUGGAACUGACGGUACCUGCAGAAUAAGCACCGGCUAACUACGUG